RNAcentral lists this ribosomal RNA (306 nucleotides) under uncultured Planctomycetota bacterium. RNAcentral's name for it is "bacterial SSU rRNA". It matches the Rfam family "Bacterial small subunit ribosomal RNA", at positions 29 to 351 of the family's 1533-position model. Lineage: Bacteria; Pseudomonadati; Planctomycetota. The record is from RNAcentral.
AAUGAACGUUGGCGGCGUGGAUUAGGCAUGCAAGUCGUGCGAUAACCGUAGCAAUACGGCGAAAGCGGCGAAAGGGAGAGUAAUGCGUGGGUACCUACCCUCGGAUUCAGGAUAGCCAUGGGAAACUAUGGGUAAUACUGAAUAACGUCUUCGGACCAAAGGUGUGAUUCCGUCCGGGGAGGGGCCCGCGUCCUAUUAGCUAGUUGGUGAGGUAACGGCUCACCAAGGCGAAGAUGGGUAUGGGAUGUGAGAGCAUGAUCCCACUCAUUGGGACUGAGACACUGCCCAGACACCUACGGGAGGCUG